Molecule: ribosomal RNA, 1754 nt
Filed under: Triticum aestivum (bread wheat)
Lineage: Eukaryota; Viridiplantae; Streptophyta; Magnoliopsida; Poales; Poaceae
Description: partial small subunit ribosomal RNA
Source: RNAcentral
AAGGCCAUCCAAUCGACCACGGGCUCACGAAACGUGAUCCCUGCCGCCCUCGAACCACCUCACCGUGCUCCUCUUCACCUCUUCCGGCCCAAAGCCCCAGCGCCGCCGAAACCCCUCCUGCGCCCCCUUCUCGCACCGGAGCACGCCUCGAAGCCCCCCCGCUGCACUGGGCGUGGAGUCGAGAUCCGCCCGCCGCGAUUCCUUCGGCUGAUCGAUCCGAGUCUGCCUACGUGGGGAGCAAGGUGCGUACCUCGCAAGGUGAAAGAUGGGUAUCCUCGAGAGGAUCAAGGAGAUUGAGGCCGAGAUGGCCCGGACGCAGAAGAACAAAGCAACAGAAUAUCAUCUUGGACAACUGAAGGCAAAAAUUGCAAAACUGAGGACACAGUUAUUAGAGCCUCCAAAGGGUGCCAGUGCUGGAGGAGAUGGUUUUGAGGUCACAAAGUUCGGGCACGGUCGUGUUGCGCUUAUAGGGUUUCCCAGUGUUGGAAAGUCAACUCUUUUAACUAUGCUGACCGGGACACAUUCUGAAGCUGCAUCAUAUGAGUUCACAACCCUCACUUGCAUUCCUGGUAUUAUCCAUUACAAUGACACCAAAAUCCAGCUUCUUGAUCUUCCCGGUAUCAUUGAAGGCGCCUCUGAAGGCAAGGGGCGUGGUAGGCAGGUUAUCGCUGUCGCCAAGUCAUCGGAUCUCGUGCUUAUGGUUCUUGACGCCUCAAAAAGUGAAGGGCAUCGCCAAAUAUUAACUAGAGAACUGGAAGCUGUUGGCCUCCGUCUGAACAAAAGGCCUCCUCAGAUAUACUUCAAGAGGAAGAAGACUGGUGGGAUUUCUUUCAACAGCACAGCACCUUUAACUCAUAUUGAUGAGAAGCUCUGCUAUCAGAUACUGCAUGAGUACAAAAUUCAUAAUGCAGAGGUAUUAUUCCGUGAGGAUUCUACUGUGGAUGAUCUGAUUGAUGUGAUUGAAGGAAAUCGGAAGUACAUCAAGUGUGUUUAUGUAUAUAAUAAGAUUGAUGUUGUGGGUAUUGAUGAUGUGGAUAAUCUUGCUCGGCAACCAAAUUCACUUGUUAUCAGCUGCAAUUUGCAGUUGAACUUGGACAGGCUAUUAGCAAGAAUGUGGGAGGAAAUGGGUCUGGUGAGAGUGUAUACAAAGCCGCAGGGUCAGCAGCCCGAUUUCGGAGAUCCAGUGGUUCUUUCUAGUGAUAGGGGCGGUUGCACAGUUGAAGACUUCUGUAAUCACAUCCACAGGAGCUUACUCAAGGAUGUGAAAUAUGUGCUCGUGUGGGGAACGAGUGCUCGGCACUAUCCACAGCAUUGUGGUCUUGGCCAUGGUCUUGAAGACGAGGAUGUGGUCCAGAUAGUGAAGAAGAAGGAAAAAGAGGAGGGCGGACGAGGCCGUUUCAAGUCGCACACCAAUGCACCUGACCGAAUCUCCGACAGGGUGAAGAAAGCUCCUCUCAAGACAUGAUCCCAUCGCCGAUUUGGAACUAGCUGAGCCAGAUGCUAUUUCGGGCGACCAUCAAGCCUGGCAUCUCCGCACAAUCAUAUGACAAAUGUUGCUUUUAUCCAGAUAGUAUAUGUGCUCUCAUGCUGUAUAAGAUGAGGCAGGCUUGUGUACACGCAGUGAGUGUUUUUGCCAGCAAACUUUGCAAAUGAGUUAGUUACAGAUGCCACCUCUUGUUAUCGUACUGUGUUUGGAACAUUAAUUAAUUAAUGGAUUCCACUACAAAUCUGAUUUGAAGUUAUGUUCUCGCAAG